RNAcentral lists this ribosomal RNA (374 nucleotides) under uncultured organism. Its description in RNAcentral is "partial 16S ribosomal RNA". It matches the Rfam family "Bacterial small subunit ribosomal RNA", at positions 527 to 896 of the family's 1533-position model. The record is from RNAcentral.
GUAGGUGGCAAGCGUUGUCCGGGAAUUAUUGGGGCGUAAAGCGCGCGCAGGCGGUUCUUUAAGUCUGAUGUGAAAGCCCACGGGCUCAACCGUGGAGGGUCAUUGGAAACUGGAGAACUUGAGUACAGAAGAGGAAAGCGGAAUUCCACGUGUAGCGGUGAAAUGCGUAGAGAUGUGGAGGAACACCAGUGGCGAAGGCGGCUUUCUGGUCUGUAACUGACGCUGAGGCGCGAAAGCGUGGGAGCAAACAGGAUUAGAUACCCUGGUAGUCCACGCCGUAAACGAUGAGUGCUAAGUGUUAGGGGGUUUCCGCCCCUUAGUGCUGCAGCUAACGCAUUAAGCACUCCGCCUGGGGAGUACGGCCGCAAAGGCUG